This 3467-nucleotide long non-coding RNA is filed under the name Salmo salar (Atlantic salmon). RNAcentral describes it as "lncRNA (ENSSSAG00000096236.1)". The record is from RNAcentral. Lineage: Eukaryota; Metazoa; Chordata; Actinopteri; Salmoniformes; Salmonidae.
GACAUUCAUAUAUUUGUUUAUUGCAGCAUAUUAAAGACAACACAGUUGCAUGUGUCUACUAAUCUUGUCAUUUUAUAGAUUUUAAUAACAUUUUUAUUUUAAUAACCUGUAUUCACCGAACAACCGUCACUGAAUGAUGAAAUUAUAACUAUUUUGUAACAAAUAAAGUUUCAGUAUACAUUUAGAAGUAUUAUAAAUGGGUCAAAUAUAGACCUGGGCCUUAUGGCAUAAAGUCCUGGUAACCUAAUGAUCUGUAACUGUUUAACAGCAAUGGAGCUCAUUUGGAAAGAAUCAAGUGUGGUGUAACUACACAUAAUGUAACAUCAUUACUUCAAUAGGCCACUAACAUUUAUAGCAACAUAACCCUGCAUUCUACUUAUAACACAUCUGUAAAAUUAAGUUAACCCUUCAGUAUUGCUGUCACCCAGAGGUCUCACUGUGCUAUAAGUCAAAGUGAAUCCAGUGAUGAAAAAAAUCACAAUGCGCAGCACAACACAUCUUCUGUAUUAAAUUCAAAUUCUGUUCAUCUCAAGUAUCAGCCCUGCUGUAAGCGGAAUUGUGCUUUCAUGUAGGUGGGUAACAGACUAUGUAAGGGAUGUAAAGUAUGUGUGGAUCAGAAGAAAAAUUAUUUGUGAUUGACUGUGUUUGACCAGAACCAAACCCGUACCAAGUGUGGCUUUUAUGUUACCUGAGUCACAUUCAGUACGAACAAAUGGGAGAAAGCGUUUUUGAAAACAAGAACGAGCAUACUUGUAGGACUAGCCCAGGUUUUACCGCCUCCGUUUCUAAACACAGUCUUCCAUUUUGUUCCAACUGAAAGCAGCCCUGUUCAUGGCUUGUUUCUGAGCGUCAGACAAAUCCUCCAAACCUGCUUUGCCAUUCCCACACACUCUGUGGUACAGUAUACUGCAUCCGGGCUGUAACAUUCCCACAUACUCUGUGGUACAGUAUACUGCAUCCAGGCUGUAACAUUCCCACACACUCUGUGGUACAGUAUACUGCAUCCGGGCUGUAACAUUCCCACAUACUCUGUGGUACAGUAUACUGCAUCCAGGCUGUAACAUUCCCACACACUCUGUGGUACAGUAUACUGCAUCCGGGCUGUAACAUUCCCACAUACUCUGUGGUACAGUAUACUGCAUCCAGGCUGUAACAUUCCCACACACUCUGUGGUACAGUAUACUGCAUCCGGGCUGUAACAUUCCCACAUACUCUGUGGUACAGUAUACUGCAUCCAGGCUGUAACAUUCCCACACACUCUGUGGUACAGUAUACUGCAUCCAGGCUGUAACAUUCCCACACACUCUGUGGUACAGUAUACUGCAUCCGGGCUGUAACAUUCCCACAAUGAGUAAUAGUACAAGAAUGGUGCAGUAAUAGUAAAGGCCACUCUUAAAGUUAAGGACCACAGGCAGUUGUCAUUAAUGGCCUAACUUGAUUGGAUGCAUAAAUAUCAAAACCUUUGGUCCAUAAUCCUGGAUUUUAUACAGCAAAGCAGCGCUUAGGUAAAUACCUGCUCAAGAAUGUCAUUCUAACAUGACUAAACUAGUUUAGUUGCCAGCAUACAAUAGACAAAUUUGGCAGUUUAAUAAUUACAGUAAUAAUUUAAUAAUCUACUAUAUAUAUAUAUAUAUAUAUAUAUAUAUAUAUAUAUCAGGGCUGGGCAAACAUUUCAAUCCGGCACACGGGAGUUUGGAGUAAAACCCUUUUAUUUUGUUUUGGGGACGGGGGUAAAAACCUCCAGGUCACACUUGAACGUCUAAAACUAGAUAGAAAGUAUGUAGAAAUGAUAACGGACCUAAAUAUUUUCAAGUUACUGCCCUUUUUCUGACCCGCAAAUAGGUUUUGACAAACAAAACAAAACAAAAACAAAACAAAUCUGUGCGACCCUUCGUUGAAUUUCCAAAAUCCCAAUGUGGCCCUCAAGCCAAGAAGUUUGCCCACCUCUGUUAUACAUGCUGUCUGGACGGAUGAAGGAUAGUGAUAGCCCCACAGAGAGUGAGACAUGCACACUGGCUCAGGUAAAUUAAAGUGGUGUGGUGGAGAAAGUGGUGUGGUUGUGUGCAGUGCACAGAGCCAGACCCCAGUAGUUAGGCACCAUUUCUCUACUCCAGGGACCUGGCAAACUCGGCGUAGUCUAUGUACCCGUCGUUGUUUUUGUCAUUGUCCCUCAGAACAUCAUCUAUAAGGCUUGUGAGGUCCUCCUCUUUCAUAGGCUGGCUAUCCUCACCUUUUUCCUGCAGAAAAUAUGGAAACAUGGAAGUGCACAUGUGUAUAGGUGAAUAAAGUACAUACAGUAUGUGGCAUCAUUGGCUGAUAAUAUCAUUUUUUUUAUAUAUUAUGUUUUUCCUUUCACACAUACCUCUUUGUGUACAUGAGUGAUGGCUGUGGCCAACUCCAGCCCAUCCAGUAAGUUGUUGCCGUCAUAAUCGUGCAUCUUAAAGUAGUGCAACUGCAGCUCCUGCGGCGACAUAUCCGACUCCGGCUUGUCAAUCACACCUUCCAGAUGCUCCAUGAUGUGUCUUAGAGGACAUAGGAGAGACACUGCUCAGUGCAUUAACCAUGCACACACUGUCAGUCAAAUUAUAGGUAAAGCUUGGAAUAGAGCAAACUAUAUAGACAGAUAGAUAGAUAGAUAGAUAGAUAGAUAGAUAGAUAGAUAGAUAGAUAGAUAGAUAGAUAGAUAGAUAGAUAGAUAGAAUCUAUCUGUCUGUACUUGUCCAAUAAGAAACGUUUGCUUCUUCUUCUGUUGCAAAGCAUUUAAGCGCAGAAUAUCCUAAUGAACACAACCCUUUACUCACUCUCUGUCAUGGACCAUGUUCUUGUCCAGGUGCAUGUUAGGACGGUGACUCUCCGGUGGGUGUUCGUGGGCUGCCUGCUCAUGGGAACGAACAGACAGCAGAAAGCAGGAGACCAGGAGUAGCCAGCCCCACGCCACGCUCCUCCUGCUACUUACUCUUAACACCAUUCUGGGCUGUACAGUAACUACACAGAUACAGACACAGACAGAGAGCGUGAGCAAGGGACAGAAUUUUAACAACAAAGUUAAUCAAAGCUGAAUAAUAUGAACAAUGGUUGCAAGCAAGGUGAAGGCACAGAACAGCCAGUGUCACUCGUCACUGAAUGGCAAGAGCUUCCACUAGAAAUAGGUGAUCCAUCUAUGAACCCAUAUGUUAACUUUUGGAAACACAUACAUGACAGAAGAAUCAGAAGAUUGAUCAAAUGGAAUUGAAUUAUUUUCAGGCAAUAAUAGCUUCAUUGUUUUCAGUGAUAUAUUAUUAUAUGUACAGUUCAGAAUACAAUCUAGCUAGUGAUGUUGUUGAUAGACACAUGGCUGGCUAAAGUUAAUUAUACUUGCACCUAGUUGGUUUAAGGACAGCAGUUAGUUUAGCAAGAUCAUUAAUAUGGUGAUAACAAGCACACCGUAAUGGAUCUACAGCGAUAUGAACGAUUAAAAUGCAUACUCA